UAUACGACCGUACCGCAAACCGACACUGGUGCGCGAGAUGAGUAUUCUAAGGCGCUUGAGAGAACUCAGGAGAAGGAACUCGGCAAAUUGACACCGUAACUUCGGAAGAAGGUGUGCCCUAUUAGUGUGUAGUGAACAACGAAGCAUGAAUGGGUUGCAAAAAAUCGGUGGCUGCGACUGUUUAUUAAAAACACAGCACUCUGCAAACACGAAAGUGGACGUAUAGGGUGUGACGCCUGCCCGGUGCUGGAAGAUUAAAUGAUGGGGUGCAAGCUCUUGAUUGAAGUCCCAGUAAACGGCGGCCGUAACUAUAACGGUCCUAAGGUAGCGAAAUUCCUUGUCGGGUAAGUUCCGACCUGCACGAAUGGCGUAACGAUGGCCACACUGUCUCCUCCUGAGACUCAGCGAAGUUGAAAUGUUUGUGAUGAUGCAAUCUCCCCGCGGAAAGACGGAAAGACCCCAUGAACCUUUACUGUAGCUUUGUAUUGGACUUUGAACAGAUCUGUGUAGGAUAGGUGGGAGGCUUUGAAGCAGGGUCGCUAGAUCUUGUGGAGCCAACGUUGAAAUACCACCCUGGUGUGUUUGAGGUUCUAACCUAGGUCCAUUAUCUGGAUCGGGGACAGUGCAUGGUAGGCAGUUUGACUGGGGCGGUCUCCUCCCAAAGCGUAACGGAGGAGUUCGAAGGUACGCUAGUUACGGUCGGACAUCGUGACGAUAGUGCAAUGGCAUAAGCGUGCUUAACUGCGAGACUGACAAGUCGAGCAGAUGCGAAAGCAGGACAUAGUGAUCCGGUGGUUCUGUAUGGAAGGGCCAUCGCUCAACGGAUAAAAGGUACUCUGGGGAUAACAGGCUGAUACCGCCCAAGAGUUCAUAUCGACGGCGGUGUUUGGCACCUCGAUGUCGGCUCAUCUCAUCCUGGGGCUGUAGCCGGUCCCAAGGGUAUGGCUGUUCGCCAUUUAAAGAGGUACGUGAGCUGGGUUUAAAACGUCGUGAGACAGUUUGGUCCCUAUCUUCCGUGGGCGCUGCAGAUUUGAGGAAGCCUGCUCCUAGUACGAGAGGACCGGAGUGGACACACCUCUGGUGUAUCGGUUGUCACGCCAGUGGCAUUGCCGAGUAGCUAAGUGUGGAAGAGAUAACCGCUGAAAGCAUCUAAGCGGGAAACUCGUUUCAAGAUGAGAUCUGCCGGGGCCUUGAGCCCCCUAAAGAGUCGUUCAAGACCAGGACGUUGAUAGGUCAGGUGUGGAAGUG
RNAcentral lists this ribosomal RNA (1248 nucleotides) under metagenome. RNAcentral's name for it is "bacterial LSU rRNA". It matches the Rfam family "Bacterial large subunit ribosomal RNA", at positions 1635 to 2875 of the family's 2925-position model. The record is from RNAcentral.